This 427-nucleotide ribosomal RNA is filed under the name uncultured prokaryote. RNAcentral's name for it is "bacterial SSU rRNA". It matches the Rfam family "Bacterial small subunit ribosomal RNA", at positions 355 to 774 of the family's 1533-position model. The record is from RNAcentral.
UGAGGAAUUUUGCGCAAUGGGAGCAAUCCUGACGCAGCAACGCCGCGUGGGUGAUGAAGGCCUUCGGGUCGUAAAGCCCUGUCAGGUGGGAAGAAUGUCCCGGGACUGAACAGGUUCCGGGAGUGACGGUACCACCAGAGGAAGCACCGGCUAACUCCGUGCCAGCAGCCGCGUAAUACGGAGGGUGCAAGCGUUAUUCGGAAUUACUGGGCGUAAAGCGCGUGUAGGCGGUCCUGCAAGUCUGAUGUGAAAGCCCCGGGCUUAACCCGGGAAGUGCAUUGGAAACUGUGGGACUUGAGUACUGGAGAGGAUGGGGGAAUUCCCGGUGUAGAGGAGAAAUUCGUAGAGAUCGGGAGGAAUAUCAGUGGCGAAGGCGCCCAUCUGGACGGUAACUGACGCUGAGACGCGAAAGCGUGGGGAGCAAGCA